Long non-coding RNA from Amaranthus tricolor (Joseph's coat), 705 nucleotides. RefSeq lists it as uncharacterized. NCBI's taxonomy places the organism in Eukaryota, Viridiplantae, Streptophyta, Magnoliopsida, Caryophyllales, Amaranthaceae. The transcript has 2 exons. The record is from RefSeq and is a predicted model, not a curated record.
UAACCCACCUCUUUAUAAACCUCAAUACUCAUCAUCAGGAAUCAUCAUCCUUCACUUCCUGUUGCAAAGAACUAAAAUUACUCCUACUUCAUAGAGUUAUUAUCACCAUCUUAUGGAAUCACGAUUUCUACUCCAAAACACACCAAAAUUCAUAAUUCAACUCCAAUUGCUUUAAUUAUCAAAAGCCCUAAGUUAUUAGAAGCAAAUUGAUUAAGUAUCAUCAAGUCCAAUCAUCACUAAGGUUAUAUCAAUUCAAGUGUAAAAUUUGGGUUAAUUGAAGAAACAAGAACUAGGAUUCAUCUAUCAAGAUCAAAUUGAGGAUUUUGUGACUCAAAUUAAAGUUCAAGAUUGAAAGUUGGAAGGUUCUUCAAUUAAUGGUGAUUAAAGAUUGUGUUGAAGUUAGCUAGUUCACCCACGUCUUUUGAAGCUUACAUGUGUGUUCUUCAAUGGUGAUUGAGAUAGGUCCAUUUUCAGGUUAGCUCAGCUGUUGAGACGAUGCCUACAUGUAUUAUGUGUUACGUGCGAGGCGAGGACUUCUUUUUGAAAUACAUUUUGUAAAUUAGAUAUUUGAAAAUUAAAUUGUAAUAAUUUCAUAAUGUUUUUGUAAAUAGUAUUUACUUAAUUAUGUAAAAAGUUUUAAACACUCUGAUAUUGGUUUGCUGUGGCUAUCGAGCCACAAGUCGAAUUUAGCCCAGUCUUCUAUAA